This 375-nucleotide ribosomal RNA is filed under the name uncultured organism. RNAcentral describes it as "partial 16S ribosomal RNA". It matches the Rfam family "Bacterial small subunit ribosomal RNA", at positions 527 to 896 of the family's 1533-position model. The record is from RNAcentral.
GUAGGUGGCAAGCGUUGUCCGGAAUUAUUGGGGCGUAAAGCGCGCGCAGGCGGUUCUUUAAGUCUGAUGUGAAAGCCCCACGGGCUCAACCGUGGAGGGUCAUUGGAAACUGGAGAACUUGAGUACAGAAGAGGAAAGCGGAAUUCCACGUGUAGCGGUGAAAUGCGUAGAGAUGUGGAGGAACACCAGUGGCGAAGGCGGCUUUCUGGUCUGUAACUGACGCUGAGGCGCGAAAGCGUGGGGAGCAAACAGGAUUAGAUACCCUGGUAGUCCACGCCGUAAACGAUGAGUGCUAAGUGUUAGGGGGUUUCCGCCCCUUAGUGCUGCAGCUAACGCAUUAAGCACUCCGCCUGGGGAGUACGGCCGCAAAGGCUG